Molecule: ribosomal RNA, 484 nt
Filed under: uncultured bacterium
Lineage: Bacteria
Description: partial 16S ribosomal RNA
Rfam family: Bacterial small subunit ribosomal RNA
Source: RNAcentral
AUUGAACGCUGGCGGCAGGCCUAACAAAGGCAGGUCGAGCGGAUGAAGGGAGCUGGCUCCUGGAUUCGGCGGCGGACGGGUGGGUAAUGCCUAGGAAUCUGCCUGUUGGUGGGGGAUAACGUCGGGAAACGGGGGCUAAUACCGCAUAGGUCCUGAGGGGGAAGGGGGGGGAUCUUGGGACCUAAGGCUAUCGGAUGAGCCUAGGUCGGAUUAGCUAGUUGGUGGGGUAAAGGCCUACCAAGGCGACGAUCCGUAACUGGUCUGAGAGGAUGAUCAGUCACACUGGAACUGAGACACGGUCCAGACUCCUACGGGAGGCAGCAGUGGGGAAUAUUGGACAAUGGGCGAAAGCCUGAUCCAGCCAUGCCGCGUGUGUGAAGAAGGUCUUCGGAUUGUAAAGCACUUUAAGUUGGGAGGAAGGGCAGUAAGUUAAUACCUUGCUGUUUUGACGUUACCAACAGAAUAAGCACCGGCUAACUUCGUG